AUGGGCGAAAGCCUGACGGAGCGACACCGCGUGGAGGACGAAAUUUUUCGGAAUGUAAACUCCUUUUGGCAGGAAUGAAACAAAUGACAGUACCUGCAGAAUAAGCAUCGGCUAACUACGUGCCAGCAGCCGCGGUAAU
Molecule: ribosomal RNA, 139 nt
Filed under: uncultured bacterium
Lineage: Bacteria
Description: partial 16S ribosomal RNA
Rfam family: Bacterial small subunit ribosomal RNA
Source: RNAcentral